RNAcentral lists this ribosomal RNA (666 nucleotides) under Alexandrium tamarense. RNAcentral describes it as "eukaryotic LSU rRNA". It matches the Rfam family "Eukaryotic large subunit ribosomal RNA", at positions 43 to 651 of the family's 3401-position model. The record is from RNAcentral. Lineage: Eukaryota; Dinophyceae; Gonyaulacales; Pyrocystaceae.
UAAGUAAGUGGUGGAAAUUAAACCAAAUGGGAUAUCUUUAGUAAUUGCGAAUGAACAAGGAUAUGCUUAGCUUGACAAAUGGAGCUAUUGGCUUUGAAUUGUAUUGUGGAAAUGUAUUACCAACAGAGGUGCAGGUGCCAGCCUAUUGAAAUAAAGCGUCAAUGAGGGUGAGAAUCCUGUUUGUCAUGUGCAGCCCUUUGUGCACGGUGUAUAUUUGCUGAGUCACACUCCUUGGCAUUGGAAUGCAAAGUGGGUGGUAAGUUUCAUGUAAAGGUAAACAUGCAAUUGAGACUGAUAGCACACAAGUACCAUGAGGGAAAUAUGAAAAGGACUUUGAAAAGAGAAUUAAAUGAGUUUGUAUUUGCUGAACACAAAGUAAACAGACUUGAUUCGCUUGGUGGGAGUGUUGCACUUGCUUGACAAGAGCUUUGGGCUGUGGGUGUAAUGAUUCUUUCUUUGCAUGCCAGUUUCUAUUUGUACAUCUGAUUACCUUUGCACAUGAAUGAUAAGUCUCCUGUGGGGGGUGGAUUGCAUGUGCAUGUAAUGAUUUGUGUUUUGAUAAAUGUGUCUGGUGUAUGUGUGUGUUCCUGUGCUUGGGGAUGCUUCCUUCCUUGGACUUACAAGCCCUGACACACACAUGCUGGCAAAAUGCUUCUGCUUGACCCG